RNAcentral lists this ribosomal RNA (565 nucleotides) under uncultured bacterium. RNAcentral's name for it is "bacterial SSU rRNA". It matches the Rfam family "Bacterial small subunit ribosomal RNA", at positions 338 to 916 of the family's 1533-position model. The record is from RNAcentral.
CCUACGGGAGGCAGCAGUGGGGAAUUUUCCGCAAUGGGCGAAAGCCUGCACGGAGCAACGCCGCGUGAGGGAUGAAGGCCUCUGGGCUGUAAACCUCUUUUAUCAAGGAAGAAGAUCUGACGGUACUUGAUGAAUAAGCCACGGCUAAUUCCGUGCCAGCAGCCGCGGUAAUACGGGAGCGGCAAGCGUUAUCCGGAAUUAUUGGGCGUAAAGCGUCCGCAGGCGGCCCUUCAAGUCUGCCGUUAAAAAGUGGAGCUUAACUCCAUCAUGGCAGUGGAAACUGUUGGGCUUGAGUGUGGUAGGGGCAGAGGGAAUUCCCGGUGUAGCGGUGAAAUGCGUAGAUAUCGGGAAGAACACCAGUGGCGAAGGCGCUCUGCUGGGCCAUCACUGACGCUCAUGGACGAAAGCCAGGGGAGCGAAAGGGAUUAGAUACCCCUGUAGUCCUGGCCGUAAACGAUGAACACUAGGUGUCGGGGGAAUCGACCCCCUCGGUGUCGUAGCCAACGCGUUAAGUGUUCCGCCUGGGGAGUACGCACGCAAGUGUGAAACUCAAAGGAAUUGACGG